Molecule: ribosomal RNA, 437 nt
Filed under: Acanthamoeba sp.
Lineage: Eukaryota; Discosea; Longamoebia; Acanthamoebidae
Description: SSU rRNA
Rfam family: Eukaryotic small subunit ribosomal RNA (bases 1-366)
Source: RNAcentral
AGGGUAAAGGCAGGCAGAUCCAAUUUUCUGCCACCGAAUACAUUAGCAUGGGAUAAUGGAAUAGGACCCUGUCCUCCUAUUUUCAGUUGGUUUUGGCAGCGCGAGGACUAGGGUAAUGAUUAAUAGGGAUAGUUGGGGGCAUUAAUAUUUAAUUGUCAGAGGUGAAAUUCUUGGAUUUAUGAAAGAUUAACUUCUGCGAAAGCAUCUGCCAAGGAUGUUUUCAUUAAUCAAGAACGAAAGUUAGGGGAUCGAAGACGAUCAGAUACCGUCGUAGUCUUAACCAUAAACGAUGCCGACCAGCGAUUAGGAGACGUUGAAUACAAAACACCACCAUCGGCGCGGUCGUCCUUGGCGUGUCUCGGCUUCACGGCCGGGGCGCGCGAGGGCGGUUUAGCCCGGUGGCACCGGUGAAUGACUCCCUAGAGCUUUUGUGAGAA